AACGAACGCUGGCGGCAUGCCUAACACAUGCAAGUCGAACGAGACCUUCGGGUCUAGGGUCGCACGGGUUCGUAACGCGUGGGAACCUGCCCUUAGGUUCGGAAUAACUCCCAGAAAGGGGUGCUAAUACCGGAUAAUGUCUUCGGACCAAAAAUUUAUCGGCUUUGGAGGGGCCCGCGUUGGAUUAGCUAGUUGGUAGGGUAAAAGCCUACCAAGGCGACGAUCCCUAGCUUGGCUGGGAGGAUGAUCAGCCACCCUGCGACUGGGACACGGCCCAGACUCCUACGGGAGGCAGCAGUGGGGAAUAUGGGACAAUGGGCGAAAGCUUGAUCCAGCAAUGCCGCGUGAGUGAUGAAGGCCUUAGGGUUGUAAAGCUCUUUUACCCGGGAUGAUAAUGACAGUACCGGGAGAAUAAGCACCGGCUAACUCCGU
Molecule: ribosomal RNA, 432 nt
Filed under: uncultured bacterium
Lineage: Bacteria
Description: partial 16S ribosomal RNA
Rfam family: Bacterial small subunit ribosomal RNA
Source: RNAcentral